RNAcentral lists this ribosomal RNA (349 nucleotides) under uncultured bacterium. RNAcentral describes it as "bacterial SSU rRNA". It matches the Rfam family "Bacterial small subunit ribosomal RNA", at positions 8 to 351 of the family's 1533-position model. The record is from RNAcentral.
AGAGUUUGAUCCUGGCUCAGGAUGAACGCUAGCUACAGGCUUAACACAUGCAAGUCGAGGGGCAGCAUGUUGGUUGCUUGCAACCAAUGAUGGCGACCGGCGCACGGGUGAGUAACGCGUAUCCAACCUACCCUUGUCCAUCGGAUAACCCGUCGAAAGGCGGCCUAACACGAUAUGCGGUUCUCAGCAGGCAUCUAACGAGAACGAAAUGUGAAGGAGAAGGAUGGGGAUGCGUCUGAUUAGCUUGUUGGCGGGGUAACGGCCACAAGGCGACGAUCAGUAGGGGUUCUGAGAGGAAGGUCCCCCACAUUGGAACUGAGACACGGUCCCAAACUCCUACGGGAGGCCA